This 453-nucleotide ribosomal RNA is filed under the name uncultured bacterium. RNAcentral describes it as "bacterial SSU rRNA". It matches the Rfam family "Bacterial small subunit ribosomal RNA", at positions 340 to 786 of the family's 1533-position model. The record is from RNAcentral.
UACGGGAGGCAGCAGUGGGGAAUAUUGCACAAUGGGCGCAAGCCUGAUGCAGCCAUGCCGCGUGUAUGAAAAAGGCCUUCGGGUUGUAAAGUACUUUCAGUCGUGAGGAAGGUGUUAAGGUUAAUAACCUUAGCAAUUGACGUUAGCGACAGAAGAGGCACCGGCUAACUCCGUGCCAGCAGCCGCGGUAAUACGGAGGGUGCGAGCGUUAAUCGGAAUUACUGGGCGUAAAGGGCACGCAGGCGGUUAAUUAAGUUGGAUGUGAAAUCCCCGGGCUUAACCUGGGAAUGGCAUUCAAGACUGGUUAGCUAGAGUCUUGUAGAGGGGGUAGAAUUCCAUGUGUAGCGGUGAAAUGCGUAGAGAUGUGGAGGAAUACCGGUGGCGAAGGCGGCCCCUGGACAAAGACUGACGCUCAUGUGCGAAAGCGUGGGGAGCAAACAGGGAUUAGAUACC